Molecule: ribosomal RNA, 442 nt
Filed under: uncultured bacterium
Lineage: Bacteria
Description: partial 16S ribosomal RNA
Rfam family: Bacterial small subunit ribosomal RNA
Source: RNAcentral
CCUACGGGUGGCAGCAGUGGGGAAUAUUGGGCAAUGGGCGCAAGCCUGACCCAGCAACGCCGCGUGAAGGAAGAAGGCUUUCGGGUUGUAAACUUCUUUUGUCAGGGAAGAGUAGAAGACGGUACCUGCCGAAUAAGCUACGGCUAACUACGUGCCAGCAGCGGCGGUAAUCCGGAGGUGGCAAGCGUUGUCCGGAUUGACUGGGUGUAAAGGGCGUGUAGCCGGGUUGACAAGUCAGAUGUGAAAUCCUGCGGCUUAACCGGAGAACUGCAUUUGACACUGUUGAUCUUGAGUACUGGAGAGGCAGAUGGAAUUCCUGGUGUAGCGGUGAAAUGCGUAGAUAUUAGGAGGAACACCAGUGGCGAAGGCGGUCUGCUGGACAGCAACUGACGGUGAGGCGCGAAAGCGUGGGGAGCAAACAGGAUUAGAUACCCUUGUAGUC